RNAcentral lists this ribosomal RNA (467 nucleotides) under uncultured bacterium. RNAcentral's name for it is "partial 16S ribosomal RNA". It matches the Rfam family "Bacterial small subunit ribosomal RNA", at positions 29 to 507 of the family's 1533-position model. The record is from RNAcentral.
ACGCACGCUGGCGGCGUGCUUCACCCCUGCAAGUCGCACGGAAAGGCCCUGCUUUUGUGGGGUGCUCGAGUGGCGAACGGGUGAGUAACACGUGAGUAACCUGCCCUUGACUUUGGGAUAACUUCAGGAAACUGGGGCUAAUACCGGAUAGGAGCUCCUGCUGCAUGGUGGGGGUUGGAAAGUUUCGGCGGUUGGGGAUGGACUCGCGGCUUAUCAGCUUGUUGGUGGGGUAGUGGCUUACCAAGGCUUUUACGGGUAGCCGGCCUGAGAGGGUGACCGGCCACAUUGGGACUGAGAUACGGCCCAGACUCCUACGGGAGGCAGCAGUGGGGAAUAUUGCACAAUGGGCGGAAGCCUGAUGCAGCAACGCCGCGUGCGGGAUGACGGCCUUCGGGUUGUAAACCGCUUUCGCCUGUGACGAAGCGUGAGUGACGGUAAUGGGUAAAGAAGCACCGGCUAACUACGUG